Molecule: ribosomal RNA, 253 nt
Filed under: uncultured bacterium
Lineage: Bacteria
Description: partial 16S ribosomal RNA
Rfam family: Bacterial small subunit ribosomal RNA
Source: RNAcentral
GACAGAGGAGGCAAGCGUUAUACGGAAUUAUUGGGCGUAAAGCGUCCGUAGGUGGUUUGGCAAGUCUGGGGUUAAAGCCCGGAGCCUAACUCCGGAGCGGCCCUGGAAACUGCCAGACUAGAGUAAGGUAGGGGUUGCGGGUAUUCCCGGUGUAGCGGUGAAAUGCGUAGAUAUCGGGAAGAACCCCAGUGGCGAAAGCGCGCAACUGGGCUAUUACUGACACUGAGGGACGAAAGCUAGGGGAGCGAAUGGG